UACGGGGGGAGCAAGCGUUGUUCGGAUUUACUGGGCGUAAAGGGCGCGUAGGCGGCGCAACAAGUCACUUGUGAAAUCUCCGGGCUUAACCCGGAGCGGUCAAGUGAUACUGUCGUGCUAGAGUGCGGAAGGGGCUACUGGAAUUCCUGGUGUAGCGGUGAAAUGCGCAGAUAUCAGGAGGAACACCGGUGGCGAAGGCGGGUCUCUGGGCCGUAACUGACGCUGAGGAGCGAAAGCGUGGGGAGCGGACAGG
RNAcentral lists this ribosomal RNA (253 nucleotides) under uncultured bacterium. RNAcentral describes it as "partial 16S ribosomal RNA". It matches the Rfam family "Bacterial small subunit ribosomal RNA", at positions 524 to 776 of the family's 1533-position model. The record is from RNAcentral.